RNAcentral lists this transfer RNA (73 nucleotides) under Sulfitobacter phage phiCB2047-B. It matches the Rfam family "tRNA". From Rfam's summary of the family: Transfer RNA (tRNA) molecules are approximately 80 nucleotides in length. Their secondary structure includes four short double-helical elements and three loops (D, anti-codon, and T loops). Lineage: Duplodnaviria; Heunggongvirae; Uroviricota; Caudoviricetes; Schitoviridae. The record is from Rfam by way of RNAcentral.
CAGGGUGUAGCUCAGCAGGUAGAGUGCUGCAUUUGGAAUGCAGAAGUCGCAGGUUCAAGCCCUGCCACCCUGA